This is a long non-coding RNA of Astatotilapia calliptera (eastern happy), 1008 nucleotides long. Lineage: Eukaryota; Metazoa; Chordata; Actinopteri; Cichliformes; Cichlidae. The record is from Ensembl.
GGAACCUUUUCCUGCCUCGACACUUGUCCAGAAACUGGCAAAAGGGCAGAAGACUUUCAUCAGCACCCUCACCGCAGAGAUAAGAAUGAGGAAGAAUAUUCUUUUCCACACAGGAAUGAAAAGAUGAAUAUUAACUUUUCUCUCCCCAGCGGUGUUCCUGCAGUCUGGCAGACAAAUUAAGUGUGACCUCCUGGCCUGUUAUCUAUGGAGCCUGGAAGCCAAUGGGACUGCGCGGCUCUCCUCAGUUCAUAGGUGCAGCAACCUUCUGAGUGGGCUCUACCUGCUUCCAGCUGAUGGCUGAAUGAUGCAGCAGUCCUCCACCCAGCCUGCAGACAGACAUUAUUGCCUACAUGCUGUAGUUGUUUACUGUCACCAAGAGAAACGUGCCCCCUGCAGUCUCCCGUGUGAGCUUCUCCUGCUGUUUGAAGCCAUCUGCCCGUCUCUCCGCUGUUUCACAGAAGGCUCAUCUAACCUGUAGAGACGUCCGUCAGGUUCAUGCUGCCCCAGUGGAGCCAACGUGCUUGCUGCAAGAAGCAUGCGAUGUCACAGGAGGCACACCUUCACUCCGCAUUAUGUUUUUGUUUGACAAAAACCCACCGGUGUUGGAUUCGAUCAUUAUCCAGUCAGACAUCCCUGCCGUGGAUUAGCUCAGACAUAAACAAAGCAAAUAAACUUUCAUGGCCUGAUGUUGUGACAUCACUCACAAGGAGACACUUAAAGGUCUUAAUUUCUAAUCUAAAAGCAAAGUUUUGUUUUAGCAUCUCUGUAAAUCUGCAGACAUGGAGGGGGGCGACGAGUCAAUAAAUAUGCAAACGAGUCCAAAGCUCUGUGUUGGACAGCAUCACGGCACAGAUUUGAAACUCCUGACUGAUGCAGUGAGUGAAGGUCAGGUUGAUCUUUGUGUGGCUGCAAAGCCAACAAACCAUGCAUGUAACUUUCUAACUGCAGCACGUAAAAGGUCCAGUGCAUAAGAGCAAUUCAGACCUCAGCUUUGUAAAUAAGAGACAG